This 459-nucleotide ribosomal RNA is filed under the name uncultured bacterium. RNAcentral describes it as "partial 16S ribosomal RNA". It matches the Rfam family "Bacterial small subunit ribosomal RNA", at positions 338 to 795 of the family's 1533-position model. The record is from RNAcentral.
CCUACGGGAGGCAGCAGUGAGGAAUAUUGGUCAAUGGCCGGGAGGCUGAACCAGCCAAGUCGCGUGAGGGAAGACGGCCCUACGGGUUGUAAACCUCUUUUGUCAGGGAGCAAGGUGCAGGUCGGGACCUGCUGUGAGAGUACCUGAAGAAAAAGCAUCGGCUAACUCCGUGCCAGCAGCCGCGGUAAUACGGAGGAUGCGAGCGUUAUCCGGAUUUAUUGGGUUUAAAGGGUGCGCAGGCGGAGGCACAAGUCAGCGGUAAAAUCGCGGGGCUCAACCCCGCUCCGCCGUUGAAACUGUGUGCCUUGAGUGCGCUAAGGGUAGGCGGAAUGCGUGGUGUAGCGGUGAAAUGCAUAGAUAUCACGCAGAACUCCGAUCGCGAAGGCAGCCUACCGGCGCGCAACUGACGCUCAUGCACGAAAGCGUGGGUAUCGAACAGGAUUAGAUACCCGGGUAGUC